Molecule: ribosomal RNA, 498 nt
Filed under: uncultured bacterium
Lineage: Bacteria
Description: bacterial SSU rRNA
Rfam family: Bacterial small subunit ribosomal RNA
Source: RNAcentral
AUUGAACGCUGGCGGAAUGCUUUACACAUGCAAGUCGAACGGUAGAGGGGGCAACCCCUUGAGAGUGGCGAACGGGUGAGUAAUAUAUCGGAACGUGCCCAGUCGUGGGGAUAACGUAGCGAAAGUUACGCUAAUACCGCAUACGAUCUACGGAUGAAAGCGGGGGACUCGCAAGAGCCUCGCGCGAUUGGAGCGGCCGAUAUCAGAUUAGGUAGUUGGUGGGGUAAAGGCUCACCAAGCCAACGAUCUGUAGCUGGUCUGAGAGGACGACCAGCCACACUGGAACUGAGACACGGUCCAGACUCCUACGGGAGGCAGCAGUGGGGAAUUUUGGACAAUGGACGCAAGUCUGAUCCAGCCAUUCCGCGUGCAGGAUGAAGGCCCUCGGGUUGUAAACUGCUUUUGUACGGAACGAAACGGUGAGCUCUAGUACAGUUUGCUAAUGACGGUACCGUAAGAAUAAGCACCGGCUAACUACGUGCCAGCAGCCGCGGUAAA